RNAcentral lists this ribosomal RNA (449 nucleotides) under uncultured bacterium. Its description in RNAcentral is "bacterial SSU rRNA". It matches the Rfam family "Bacterial small subunit ribosomal RNA", at positions 329 to 794 of the family's 1533-position model. The record is from RNAcentral.
AGCCAGACUCCUACGGGAGGCAGCAGUGGGGAAUAUUGGGCAAUGGGGGAAACCCUGACCCAGCGACGCCGCGCGAGGGAAGAAGGUUUUCGGAUUGUAAACCUCUGUCCUUGGUGACGAUAAUGACGGUACCUCAUGAAUAAGCCACGGCUAACUACGUGCCAGCAGCCGCGGUAAUACGUAGGUGGCAAGCGUUAUCCGGAUUUACUGGGUGUAAAGGGCGUGUAGGCGGGACUGCAAGUCAGAUGUGAAAAUUAUGGGCUCAACCCAUAACCUGCAUUUGAAACUGUAGUUCUUGAGUGAUGGAGAGGCAGGCGGAAUUCCGUGUGUAGCGGUGAAAUGCGUAGAUAUACGGAGGAACACCAGUGGCGAAGGCGGCCUGCUGGACAUUAACUGACGCUGAGGCGCGAAAGCGUGGGGAGCAAACAGGAUUAGAUACCCCCGUAAGC